This 440-nucleotide ribosomal RNA is filed under the name uncultured bacterium. Its description in RNAcentral is "partial 16S ribosomal RNA". It matches the Rfam family "Bacterial small subunit ribosomal RNA", at positions 338 to 795 of the family's 1533-position model. The record is from RNAcentral.
CCUACGGGAGGCAGCAGUGGGGAAUAUUGCACAAUGGGGGAAACCCUGAUGCAGCGACGCCGCGUGAGUGAAGAAGUAAUUCGUUAUGUAAAGCUCUAUCAGCAGGGAAGACAAUGACGGUACCUGAGUAAGAAGCCCCGGCUAACUACGUGCCAGCAGCCGCGGUAAUACGUAGGGGGCAAGCGUUAUCCGGAUUUACUGGGUGUAAAGGGAGCGUAGACGGCAGUGCAAGUCUGGAGUGAAAGGCGGGGGCUCAACCCCCGGACUGCUCUGGAAACUGUACGGCUGGAGUGCAGGAGAGGUAAGUGGAAUUCCUGGUGUAGCGGUGAAAUGCGUAGAUAUUAGGAGGAACACCAGUGGCGAAGGCGGCUUACUGGACUGUAACUGACGUUGAGGCUCGAAAGCGUGGGGAGCGAACAGGAUUAGAUACCCCAGUAGUC